GAUGAACGCUGGCGGCGUGCCUAAUACAUGCAAGUCGAGCGGACGGACGAGAAGCUUGCUUCUCUGAUGUUAGCGGCGCACGGGUGAGUAACACGUGUAUACCCUACCUAUAAGACUGGUAUAACUUCGGGAAACCGGCGCUAAUACCGUAUAAGCUUUUGAACCGCAUGGUUCAAAAGUGAAAUACGGUCUUGCGGUCACUUAUAGAGGGAUCCGCGCUGCAUUAGCUAGUUGGUAAGGUAACGGCUUACCAAGGGUACGAUGCAUAGCCGACGGCAGAGGGUGGUAGGCCGCCUGGGAGCGGGACCGGGGACCUGGGGCCUACGGGAGGCAGCAGUAGGGAACGGGACGCAGUGGGCGAGAGCAUGGCGGAGCGAGCGGACGCGAGUGGCGGCAGUGCUCGGUUCGGGAUAAUGUCUUACGAGGGAAAAACAGAUGUGUAAGUAGCUGUGGAGUGAGUGACGGUACCUGGUAAGGAAGCCACGGCUAACUACGUG
RNAcentral lists this ribosomal RNA (497 nucleotides) under uncultured bacterium. Its description in RNAcentral is "partial 16S ribosomal RNA". It matches the Rfam family "Bacterial small subunit ribosomal RNA", at positions 28 to 507 of the family's 1533-position model. The record is from RNAcentral.